AUUGAACGCUGGCGGCAGGCUUAACACAUGCAAGUCGAGCGGGGGAAGGUAGCUUGCUACCGGACCUAGCGGCGGACGGGUGAGUAAUGCUUAGGAAUCUGCCUAUUAGUGGGGGACAACAUCUCGAAAGGGAUGCUAAUACCGCAUACGUCCUACGGGAGAAAGCAGGGGAUCUUCGGACCUUGCGCUAACAGAUGAGCCGAAGUCGGAUUAGCUAGUUGGUGGGGUAAAGGCCUACCAAGGCGACGAUCUGUAGCGGGUCUGAGAGGAUGAUCCGCCACACUGGGACUGAGACACGGCCCAGACUCCUACGGGAGGCAGCAGUGGGGAAUAUUGGACAAUGGGGGGAACCCUGAUCCAGCCAUGCCGCGUGUGUGAAGAAGGCCUUAUGGUUGUAAAGCACUUUAAGCGAGGAGGAGGCUACUUUAGUUAAUACCUAGAGAUAGUGGACGUUACUCGCAGAAUAAGCACCGGCUAACUCUGUGCCAGCCGCCGCAGUAA
This 501-nucleotide ribosomal RNA is filed under the name uncultured bacterium. RNAcentral describes it as "partial 16S ribosomal RNA". It matches the Rfam family "Bacterial small subunit ribosomal RNA", at positions 30 to 523 of the family's 1533-position model. The record is from RNAcentral.